UACGUAGGGGGCAAGCGUUGUCCGGAUUCAUUGGGCGUAAAGAGCUCGUAGGCGGCUCGGUAAGUCGGGUGUGAAACCUCCAGGCUCAACCUGGAGACGCCAUCCGAUACUGCCGUGGCUAGAGUCCAGUAGGGGAGCGUGGAAUUCCUGGUGUAGCGGUGAAAUGCGCAGAUAUCAGGAGGAACACCAGCGGCGAAGGCGGCGCUCUGGGCUGGAACUGACGCUGAGACGCGAAAGCGUGGGGAGCGAACAGG
Molecule: ribosomal RNA, 254 nt
Filed under: uncultured bacterium
Lineage: Bacteria
Description: partial 16S ribosomal RNA
Rfam family: Bacterial small subunit ribosomal RNA
Source: RNAcentral